This 82-nucleotide transfer RNA is filed under the name Sutterella sp. CAG:521. It matches the Rfam family "tRNA". Rfam says of the family: Transfer RNA (tRNA) molecules are approximately 80 nucleotides in length. Their secondary structure includes four short double-helical elements and three loops (D, anti-codon, and T loops). Further hydrogen bonds mediate the characteristic L-shaped molecular structure. tRNAs have two regions of fundamental functional importance: the anti-codon, which is responsible for specific mRNA codon recognition, and the 3' end, to which the tRNAs corresponding amino acid is attached (by aminoacyl-tRNA synthetases). tRNAs cope with the degeneracy of the genetic code in two manners: having more than one tRNA (with a specific anti-codon) for a particular amino acid; and 'wobble' base-pairing, i.e. permitting non-standard base-pairing at the 3rd anti-codon position. Lineage: Bacteria; Pseudomonadati; Pseudomonadota; Betaproteobacteria; Burkholderiales; Sutterellaceae. The record is from Rfam by way of RNAcentral.
GCCCGGGUGGCGGAAUGGUAGACGCAGUGGAUUCAAAAUCCACCGGUGAUGAGCCGUGAGAGUUCGAGUCUCUCCCCGGGCA